Molecule: ribosomal RNA, 584 nt
Filed under: Bacillus licheniformis
Lineage: Bacteria; Bacillati; Bacillota; Bacilli; Caryophanales; Bacillaceae
Description: bacterial SSU rRNA
Rfam family: Bacterial small subunit ribosomal RNA
Source: RNAcentral
GGGGGGCGCGUCACAACCGGUGUAGAAAUGUGGUUUUAUUUAGAACUUUGGGGAAGAACUUUCCCGGGUCUUGUCAUCCUCUGACAACCCUAAAAAUAGGGUGUCCCCUUCGGGGGCAGAGUAACAGGUGGUGCAUGGUUGUGGUCAGCCCGUGUGGUGAGAUGUUGGGUUAAUUCCCCCAACGAGCGCAUCCCUUGUUUUUAGUUGCCAGCAUUCAGUUGGGCACUCUAAGGAGACUGCCGGUGACAACCCGAAGGAAGGUGGGGAUGACGUCAAAUCAUCAUGCCCCUUAUUACCUGGGCUACACACGUGCUACAAUGGGCAGAACAAAGGGCAGCGAACCCGCGAGGUUAACCCAAUCCCCCAAAUCUGUUUUCAGUUCGGAUCGCAGUCUGCAACUCGACUGCGUGAAGCUGGAAUCGCUAGUAAUCGCGGAUCAGCAUCCCGCGGUGAAUACGUUCCCGGGCCUUGUACACCCCGCCCGUCACCCCCGAGAGUUUGUAACACCCGAAGUCGGUGAGGUAACCUUUUGGAGCCAGCCGCCGAAGGUGGACAGAUUAUUGGGGAAGUCGUAACAAGGAGCC